AUGGCUUCUUGGCCUUUUGGCUAAGAUCAAGUGUAGUAUCUGUUCUUAUCAGUUUAAAUUCACUUAUAUUUAAAGUAAUUAUUGAUAAGGCACCUGGGUGGCUCAGUCAGUUAAGAGUCUGCCUUC
RNAcentral lists this small nuclear RNA (126 nucleotides) under Zalophus californianus (California sea lion). RNAcentral's name for it is "U2 spliceosomal RNA (ENSZCAG00015001699.1)". It matches the Rfam family "U2 spliceosomal RNA". From Rfam's summary of the family: U2 is a small nuclear RNA (snRNA) component of the spliceosome (involved in pre-mRNA splicing). The record is from RNAcentral. Lineage: Eukaryota; Metazoa; Chordata; Mammalia; Carnivora; Otariidae.